UGGUAGCAACAGAGAAAGACAGUGACUCAGU
Molecule: non-coding RNA, 31 nt
Filed under: Mus musculus (house mouse)
Lineage: Eukaryota; Metazoa; Chordata; Mammalia; Rodentia; Muridae
Source: RNAcentral